Molecule: ribosomal RNA, 842 nt
Filed under: uncultured fungus
Lineage: Eukaryota; Fungi
Description: SSU rRNA
Rfam family: Eukaryotic small subunit ribosomal RNA
Source: RNAcentral
AGAUUAGCCAUGCAUGUCUAAGUAUAAGCAAUUUUACGGUGAAACUGCGAAUGGCUCAUUAAAUCAGUUAUAGUUUAUUUGAUGGUACUUUACUACAUGGAUAACUGUGGUAAUUCUAGAGCUAAUACAUGCGUAAAAGCCCCAACUUUUUGGAAGGGGUGUAUUUAUUAGGUAAAAACCAACCGCUUCGGCGUCCUUUGGUGAAUCAUAAUAACUUUUCUAAUCGCAUGGCCUUGUGCCGGCGAUGCUUCAUUCAAAUAUCUGCCCUAUCAACUUUGAUGGUAGGAUAGAGGCCUACCAUGGUUGCAACGGGUAACGGGGAAUAAGGGUUCGAUUCCGGAGAGGGAGCCUGAGAAACGGCUACCACAUCCAAGGAAGGCAGCAGGCGCGCAAAUUACCCAAUCCCGACACGGGGAGGUAGUGACAAUAAAUAACAAUAUAGGGCCUUACAGGUCUUAUAAUUGGAAUGAGUACAAUUUAAAUCCCUUAACGAGGAACAAUUGGAGGGCAAGUCUGGUGCCAGCAGCCGCGGUAAUUCCAGCUCCAAUAGCGUAUAUUAAAGUUGUUGCAGUUAAAAAGCUCGUAGUUGAAUUUCAGGCCCUGGUCGUUCGGUCCGCCUCACGGCGUGCACUGUUUCGAUUGGGCCUUCCUUUCUUGGUGAGCCUUGUAUGCCGUUUAUUCAGUGUACAAGUGUCUGGCCAGGACUUUUACUUUGAAAAAAUUAGAGUGUUCAAAGCAGGCCUAUGCCCGAAUAUAUUAGCAUGGAAUAAUAGAAUAGGACGUUGCGGUCCUAUUUUGUUGGUUUCUAGGAUCCGCCGUAAUGAUUAAUAGGGAUAGUCGGG